AUCACCGCUUACUGAAACUUAGAGAUAUAAACAACUCUAGAAAUAUAGAUUCAGGCUUCAAUUCAUUUGAGUUAUGAUUUACUUGUUGUUUUUGUGGUCACUAUGCGCGUGAUUGUCCAUAGGAUCGAAGAAACUGUAAACUAGAAAUUUUCAAUGGGUUUUGAUUUCUUAGAAUAGUUAGAUUUGAAAAAUACCCUAGGAAACAGUUUCUAAAAUACAACUCAAGCGGUGAUUAGGUUAUGUUUUGGGAUAAAUUGGCAAAAUUUGAAGGUCGUCCUCCCCUUUCUGUAUAAAUGUGUUUUAAUCACAGAACAAAACUCAAGAAAUUAUAAUGUUUCCACUGUAGCAACCUUGACCACCUAGAUGCAUAGUGAUUGAAAGAUGAUACGAUGAUUCUAUCAAUAUCCAGAAGAUCGAAUAUAUUCAUCAAAAAUUUCGUAUUUGGUUUCUAUGUGAUAUAAUUAAGGAUCCCACUGGUGGUAGCCAUGAUAAGUGCCUUGUAAUAUAUUGAGUAUUUUGAAGACCUUGAUAAAAGAAGAAGGUUGUGAAGACUCAUAGUCAUCAAGUCGGUACUUGGGUUUGAAGUUGGUUCUUGAACAACAAUAAGAGUAAUAUUUUUUUUAUUUUUUGUGGAUGAUAUAACCUCUUAUAGCAUCAAGCAGGUACUUGGGUUUGAAGUUGGUUCUCUCCCAAUGAGAUAUCUCGAUCUCUCUCUCAUGUCCACUAGGUUGUUUCACCAAGACUGCAUGCCUUUGAUUGAUAAACUCAAGACUAGGAUCUUGUCUUGGAAGGAUAGAGACCUUUACUUUGCUAGAAGGGUGCUCUUGAUUAAAGCGGUGCUCAAUAGCAUGUUAAUUCAUGUUCUGUGCUUCCUAAGAAGGCCAUCAACGAAUUAAACUUCAUCUUUAGGAAGUUUCUCUGGGCAGGUAUCGACCUCACCUAUAAACAACCGUCAGUGAAAUGCUCCAAGAUCUGCCACCCAAUCAAGUAUGGAGGUUUGGGCCUUAGGUUCAUUGCUACCACCAAUGUUGAUGUAUAUCUCAAACAUAUAUGGAACAUAAUCAGCAAUAAAGAUACCAUUUGGGUAAAAUGUGUGCAUGAAAACUUAAUCAAGAAUCAAGAUCUCCGGCACAUGAAAACUCCGGUGGACUCAUCAUGGUGAUGGAGGCGUAUUUUGGAUCACAGGAGCACUGCCACUAAGUUUGUUUUCCACCUUAUAGGUGAUGGGGAUAACAAAAAGCUAUCGAAAGAUAAUUGGGUGGGUCAAGGAAAUAUUUUGCAUAUAUUUCCUCGUCACAUGAAAUAUGAUUAGAUGAAUCACAGUGAGGCAAAGGUGAGCAGUUAUCUUGUUGAUGGUGCUUGGACCUUGAAUCCUAACUUGAAGAAUGAUCUCGACAGUAUAAUAGAAGAUGUUAAAAAUGUUAAAACCGAAAAUCUUAUUGACGACAGGGUGGUGUGUACUGUAGGUAAAUCUGGUGACUUUGUGCUUCGAGAUACCUAUAAUUCUUUAAGGCAUAAAGAGACCAAAAAUAAAUGGCACAAAUUGGUGUGGUUCUCUAGUUGUGUACCUAGGCAGUGCUUCAUUGUAUGGAUGUGUGUUCAGCUUAAGCUGAAAACCAGGUUCAAGGUUCUCUUUUGGGGAAUGAAUGUCAACCCAGUUUUCAUACUUUGCAACACUAUGCUUGAAGAUGAUUUCCACAUGUUCUUUGGCUGCAGGUACUCAAUUGUCAUGUAGAAACAUCUUAUAAGACUCAUGGGACUGAAAGAAAUAAUUCUCCAUGAUUGGGAUGCUCAAAUUCUUUGGUGUGUGGUUAACAUUAAGGGUGUGAACUCAGAUGGCACUAUACAAAUCUCACCUUCAAUGCUUAUAUAUAUCAUGCAUGGGGUGAAAUAAACAGGAGUAUCUGUAAGUCCCAUAUGCUUGAUUGCAAUGAAUUUUAUGCUAUUGCUGCAAAUAUGAGAUGCAAAUCAUAUUACUAUAUGCUUAUUCACAAGGUUAUUAGUUGGAUAAAACCAGAGCCAGAGGAAGUGGCAGUUAACACCGACGGGUCAUUAUGUGAUGAAGGAGCAAGAUUUGGUGCUAUAAUUCGAAUUGAACUUGGUACUACACAAGGUGUUGUUACAGGAAGCUCGGCACCUGUGUCUAUCACUCUCCAUGAGCGUCAAGGAAUUAAGAUGGCCUCCAACUUGGGAACCAAAGAGGCUAGCCUAGAAACUCUCUCUGAUCCGACUCUAAAACAUCUUUGAGCUAUUUUAAGGAGGAUGGCAGUGAACUCCCUUGGUCCUGCCUUCGUGUAAGGGAGUCUAUAAAACGACUCAGGUGUCAGUUUGAAAAAUGUAGUCCUUUACACACUUACAAAGAAGCGAAUAGUGUUGCCGACAUGCUUGCAAGCUAUAACAUGCUGGUAAGUUCGUAGAAACCCAACCAAACUCUUUCUCCGAAGAGUUGAAGAAAAUUAUAAUGGAUGAUGCAACGGGAAAGUUUACUUUAGAUAGUAUUAAAGUGUAGGGGGUUUUCACUUGAGUCUUCUGUUGUUGUAGGUUUUCUGUUUUCUUAUCUUUAUUUUCUGUUUCGUUUGUUUGGUUGGAGUCUCCUUAACCCGCUCUCAUUUCCCCAAAAGAAAAAGGACUCAUAGUCAUGGACUGAAUGAUAACACUGGCCGUGAUCUGCAAGCUUGCCUGGUCGAAUGCUCAGCCAAGAUGGCCGUGAUCUGCAAGCUGCAAGCUUGUCGGGUCGAAUGCUCAGCCAAGAUGGUCGUGCAUGAUGAAGCUUCAUUCUUCCAAGCCGCAAGCCGGCUUAGCACGAUGAUUGGUUGUGAGCAAAAAUGUUUUUCGAGAAAUAUGAAGCUUCAUUUGCAAGCCGGCUUAGCUCGAUGCAGCUUCAUUCUUGCAAUUUGCAAGUUGGCGAAACACGAUGAAGCUUCAUUUGGGCAUGGCAUUUGCAAGAUUCGCACUUGGGGACUUGGUGAAUGUUUUUUGCUCCCCUAAUCUUAUUUGUAGAAAUGCUAAUAAGGCAUAUAUAAGUUUUCUGUUUUCUUA
Long non-coding RNA from Papaver somniferum (opium poppy), 3039 nucleotides. RefSeq lists it as uncharacterized. The record is from RefSeq and is a predicted model, not a curated record. NCBI's taxonomy places the organism in Eukaryota, Viridiplantae, Streptophyta, Magnoliopsida, Ranunculales, Papaveraceae. The transcript is spliced from 2 exons.